CUGGAAAUCGCACGAGUCUUCUCGCGCCCACACUUAUCGGCUGUUGUUGACGACAGAUUGCCCGAUCUGCGGGUCUGUAGCUCAGUCGGUUAGAGCACCGUCUUGAUAAGGCGGGGGUCGUUGGUUCGAAUCCAACCAGACCCACCAUCGUGUCGGGGGUGUAGCUCAGCUGGGAGAGCACCUGCUUUGCAAGCAGGGGGUCAUCGGUUCGAUCCCGUUCACCUCCACCAUAUUUAUGCGUACCACACAGUUUGCAGUGGCUAACUGUGUAGUGCGACAUAUGUCGGCUGUCGUUCUUUAAUAAUUUAUAGAGUCGAAUCAGAAUGCGACGCUGCGACUAUGCAGUGUCGCAAGUCUUGAUUGCGUCAUCAUCAACCUCUGUAUAGAGGUUCGGCAAAACGCAAAUGUGAUCCAAGCGGAUCACGAGUACUUGACUGACGUUUGACGUCAAAGUUAUAGGGUCAAGUGACUAAGUGCAUGUG
This 482-nucleotide transfer RNA is filed under the name uncultured bacterium. Its description in RNAcentral is "16S-23S ribosomal RNA intergenic spacer". The stretch from base 71 to 144 matches the Rfam family "tRNA". The record is from RNAcentral.